Molecule: ribosomal RNA, 270 nt
Filed under: uncultured Pseudomonas sp.
Lineage: Bacteria; Pseudomonadati; Pseudomonadota; Gammaproteobacteria; Pseudomonadales; Pseudomonadaceae
Description: partial 16S ribosomal RNA
Rfam family: Bacterial small subunit ribosomal RNA
Source: RNAcentral
AGUUACCAGCACGUUAUGGUGGGCACUCUAAGGAGACUGCCGGUGACAAACCGGAGGAAGGUGGGGAUGACGUCAAGUCAUCAUGGCCCUUACGGCCUGGGCUGCACACGUGCUACAAUGGUCGGUACAAAGGGUUGCCAAGCCGCGAGGUGGAGCUAAUCCCAUAAAACCGAUCGUAGUCCGGAUCGCAGUCUGCAACUCGACUGCGUGAAGUCGGAAUCGCUAGUAAUCGUGAAUCAGAAUGUCACGGUGAAUACGUUCCCGGGCCUU